UUCUCACCCCCAAAAUAGGUAUUUUUUGGAAGAAAACACCAGAAGUAAGUUAUUCUUACAAGAAACCAGAGUAAAGACUCGUCAUUCUAAGUCACUGUGAAGGUUCAGACCUCCUGAGCACUCAAGCUCCCUUUACCGGCGUGUCUCCUGUGCCGGCACUGUGCUGAGGGUCUUACCAUCUCCUUUAUUCUCGAAGGUUCGCAGACUCUGCCCUGAGCAGUAGCCCCUUAAUGGAGUCAAGUAAAAGCCCCAGUCACUCCUUCGGUCUGGUAGGAUGUUACGGGGAUGUCUGCCUGGCGCCGCUGAAGGAAACCUCAUUUAACCUGCUCCUCUUUCUUGUGAGCCGUGCUGGCUGGUCCCCACUGAGACCCUGUCACACCGCCGUCAUUCCUGUGCCGACACUGGACCAGUGUUGCCAUGAUGACCUAGACACCAGAGCACCCUUCUCCUUAGCCUUGCUCCUCCGUUGCCGACGGUGACAGGAAUGCAGUGAACAUGUAGUUUUUUCACAGCGAUGUCAAGUCUGUGCGGACCACGUCUCACCCCCAUCCUGUGGCCGAGCGCCCAGAGCAGGCCACCCUGACUUCUGUGCUGGCUUUUUGCCCUGUCCCUUCCUCCUGCUCUGCAGAACCUCGGAAGACAAAGGCCUCGGCAGGUUCACCCAGGCUGCAGGGUGGGACGCUGGCCCUGCCAGAAGAUGCCAAGAACAUCAUAGUUGCCUCCCCUGGAAGAGCCCACAGCCUUCUCUGAUCCCCACGGGCUCCCCUCCCUCCCACAGCCAAGGUCGCGUUGGGUAUGCAGUACCUUCCGAGGACGAAUUUUCUCUUUGUUUUUUAAGUGCCUACACACGUUACAGACCUCUGGGACCUGCCAGAGAGUCAGCUCGUGCCCUGCCCCUCCCUCCCGGACCCUGCACUUGGCCCUGCCAUGGGGGCGGCCCCUCACCAGGGUACCCGGGUUCUGCAGGCGGAGCAGCAGUGAGGGCGGCACGCGGGGCGAGGUGGUCAUUGCCCAUCAGGCUGGCUUUGUCGCUCUUUCCUCUGCUGCUCCUUUAGGGGUGUUUCUGCUGAUGGGGGUCAUGGUCCUGUCAGUGAGACUGUUAAGGAGCUUUCUCAGCAAAGUCUGUAGCCGCCAAGUGAGGAAGACAGGAAAGCGAGGCAGUCUCAGAGCAGAAACCCGAGUGUCUGACAGCAGCCGGAAGGUGCAUCCAGACCCCAAAGGGCGAAGGAUGAGAUAGUCACAGUUAAGAACAGGAUGAUUCAUUUGCCAUCAUUAGUCACGGGACCCCUGGCUGCCCGACCUCGUCCUCUUCCUAGAUUGGAGUGAUCAGGGGUCUGCCCUCAGGGGCACAAAAAGGCUGUCGUUGGGAGGGGGGUGGGUGAAACACCAUCAAAAGUGCGUCUGUGCAAAUGUGUGAGAUUGUUUGCUUCUUUUUUAAAGUACCUUCAGUCUGACCUAAAUUUGGGGCCUUGAUCACGUGGUGUGGACGAGGUUGUUCUGUGACCACACUUGACAUCACACCACUAAGCAGUGCUCAGAUGAUUUGUUGGUGCAUUAGAAGGUUUUGCAGAAUGGAACAAUCCAUACCCAGGCACUUUAUUUUCAUGAGUAAUCCAGCAUUUUUGUUCAGACAGUGGAACAGCCCACACACCGGGCCUUCCCAUUUAACCCAUGCGGGCGUUUGCCAGAGGAACCCAGCUGGGUGGAGAGUGAGCAGGUGGCCGGGACUGCCCCAUGGUGGCCAGUGAGGCUGUUCUGGACGUGCACUUGUCGGCUGCAGUUGUGGUUGAGACGAGAUGAACGUGAGCGAGGCUGAACCAGGGGAGCCGGCCUCGAGAAGCCGCCAGAGGCGGGAAGGGCUGGGAGCUCCCCGUCCUUGUGUGCCGCGGGGGCGGGAAGCAGCUGGCACAGCAAGUUCUAAAGUGGAAAGCGAGUUGCUGGUGGUAAUUUGAUCAAAUACCGCGGACCAGAUGCCUGGGGCUGCCUGAAAGCCCGCAGCAUCCACCAAACACUGGAGUGUCUGCGGGGGGCUCCCCCUGCCUUCGCCGCCUGUCUUAGUCUUCGUGUCUCCCCUUGGCGUCUCCGGUCUGUCCCCAUCUUGUGCACCAUGUGCCCCUGAGGGGAGUCGCACCUGUGUCUGAGUCUGCUGUAAGGUGUUCAGUCUACCUCAAGGGGUCAUCAUGGUCAGCUCUGUCCCAUAGCAGUCCUGCCGACGUCGCCACACACACUGGAAUGUAUAUCUGCCCCGGCCCCGCCUUCCCGUCAGUAACCUCCUGACCCCGUCUUUUCCUCUGUCACCACCAACUCCUAGUGCAAAUUGGAUGCUGCUUUAAAUGUGAAAACAAUUGUUCAAAAGCUAUAAAACCUGAAUGAAAGCUAAAGCUGAAUUUAUAAGCCUUGUUGCAUAUGAGCCAAAAGUGCAAAAAGCUCUAUAUAAUGAACUAACCUGCCACUCGUAUAAAUAUAAAUAUAUAUAAAUAUAUUAAAAUCAGACUGUUCUACAAAAUUGUGUAUUUGUAUUUUUGUGUACGUACAAUUUUCUGCUAA
This 2547-nucleotide long non-coding RNA is filed under the name Sus scrofa (pig). Its description in RNAcentral is "lncRNA (ENSSSCG00050019036.1)". Lineage: Eukaryota; Metazoa; Chordata; Mammalia; Artiodactyla; Suidae. The record is from RNAcentral.